RNAcentral lists this ribosomal RNA (460 nucleotides) under uncultured bacterium. Its description in RNAcentral is "partial 16S ribosomal RNA". It matches the Rfam family "Bacterial small subunit ribosomal RNA", at positions 338 to 795 of the family's 1533-position model. The record is from RNAcentral.
CCUACGGGAGGCAGCAGUGAGGAAUAUUGGUCAAUGGACGGAAGUCUGAACCAGCCAUGCCGCGUGCAGGAAGACGGCUCUGUGAGUUGUAAACUGCUUUUGUACAAGAGUAAACCUGAAUACGUGUAUUCAGCUGAAAGUACUGUACGAAUAAGGAUCGGCUAACUCCGUGCCAGCAGCCGCGGUAAUACGGAGGAUCCAAGCGUUAUCCGGAUUUGUUGGGUUUAAAGGGUGCGUAGGCGGAUUGAUAAGUUAGAGGUGAAAUGUCCGGGCUUAACUCGGGAACUGCCGGUAAUACUGUUGAGCUAGAGAGUAGAUGCGGUAGGCGGAAUGUAUGGUGUAGCGGUGAAAUGCUUAGAGAUCAUACAGAACACCGAUUGCGAAGGCAGCUUACCAAUCUAUAUCUGACGUUGAGGCACGAAAGCGUGGGGAGCAAACAGGAUUAGAUACCCCUGUAGUC